Long non-coding RNA from Cavia porcellus (domestic guinea pig), 7004 nucleotides. RefSeq lists it as uncharacterized. Lineage: Eukaryota; Metazoa; Chordata; Mammalia; Rodentia; Caviidae. The transcript is spliced from 8 exons. The record is from RefSeq and is a predicted model, not a curated record.
AAUUCCAUUUUCACUGGCUUUUAAGAAAUAGAGCUUUGUUUUAGUUUGCAGUUAAUGUUUUCUUAUUAUUUUCAGAGAUGUGAAAUACAAUUCCUUUGUUUAUGAAAGGUAAGGGUUUCAGUGUUGCAAUCUAGGAAAAACAUCGUAGUGUAACAGUGAAAUUUGUCUUUCUUUUUUUUUCCUUCUCUUCUUUUUUUCUUUCUUCUUCUUUUUUGGCAUAUGGAUAGGAGGGAAGCGAUCACACUCCCUCCCCAUAUGCUUCGACUUUCCUGUCUGUUUUGCCAUUAGUAUUCCAUUAAGAUUAUGAUUAAUGGAAGCGCUCCUGAAUUUCAAACAUCUUGAAAUCUAGCCAAUCCUUGUUCUUGGGAGGCUAAAUUGAAAACAAAUAACAAUAAAAAUAAGGUGAUGCAGGUUUUUGAGUCUUUAGAGAAGCCAUCAUUGUGAUCUCUGUACCACUGCUGCGGAAAAAGAGGACAACAUUUUUCAUUUCUGGCACUGUUACUGACAACAGGCAACUGAAAGCCAGCCUGAAUUUCUGGGAGUAGCAUUAGGAUGCAGGACUCCUGCUGAGCGCACCAGUUCCUGGCUCUGCACAGCUGCCUUCUCAGCUGGGGGUUUGAAAUCAGCACUGUGAGAAAAGACAGAAAUGACCAUGAUGCAUGUUCCUGUCAUUGAGAAAAGCGAUCUGUGAUUGGAGGAGGGACACUGUUCUUUCCUCUCCAGAAUGCUGUGUGUUUUGUGGUCCUAUCCAUCUUGUGAUGUCUUGUCCUGGGAAUUCUUUAAGUAAGGCUGUCUUUCUUCUAGAGGGAUUCUAGAAAAGUCCUGAAAUGUGGUUUCAGAUUAUUUGGACGUGGGGUCCUUGAAUUUACCCUCUGGAUCAUAGCUGCACAGCUUGGGAGUCUUCUGCAUUUUUUGACUGAGAAAUCUGACAGGCCACUUUAGCCAGGUGAUCGAUUGGAGCCAUAAAAAGAUAUUACUGCCUAACAGGUGUGACUAUACAGAUGUCUAGAACAGUUGGCGAAGUCUGUAGGCCUGUUACUUUGUCACGGUAACUGGUUUCUACUGCCACUAAAGACCAUGGUUUUAAAGACUCACAUCUAAAGCAACAGCUUUUUAAUAGUAUUUGACAUAAAUUGAAACAUCAACAUGAAUAAUAACAUUUAGUUAUAAUUUAGUUAUUGAGUAGAUCUUGCAAUGCCUGCUAUAUGUAAUGUGUUCUCAGUGUAGACGUACAGAACAACUUCAUACACAAAUUAAUAAAUGAAGAAAUAAAGUAAUGUAAAUCAGCGACUGAUCUCAAAAUGCUUCUAGACUGUUUUGCAGCUAAUACCUAAUAAAUUCUACUCAGAUGCCAUUGAAAGUCAGACAGGAAUUGUGAAGUAGAGAAGCAAGAUGAAUGCACUGGGCUUUGCAUAAGAGCUGGUUCUAAAUAUCCUGUAAUACUUGAAUGGUUUCACACUGUCUUGAUAUGUUUGAUGCUAUAGUAUACGAAGUUAUACUCAAAUAUUUAUUUCAAGAAAAGUGAUACUAUGAUGGAGCUUCCGGAAGAACAUGGCGGAUAGACAGCAGCAAGCUAUGGAGGCUCUCUGAGAUACCCUGCUUAGAAUACAGGAAUGCUGCGGUAUGAGGAGUCCUAAGCAAGGGGAGAUAUAACCUGUUGACACACGAAUGAACUAAGCUAAGAGAAACCAACUGGAAAUGCAAUCCUGGUGCUAUAACAGGAACAGAUAAAAUCUCAGCGUGGAAACUAGAACCCGCGCCACUGGCAGCCGCGAUCUGAAUUUCCUGCUGAUGCUGCGUCCAAAUCUGCAGGGCAGGUAGAGAGACACGCGAAAGCUCUGAGAGCGGGAAUCUGUGAAUGGAGUUGCCCUACAUCAACUUGUGAUUUGUGGGAGUUUUUAGGCCUUUGCAACCCCCUUUUCUGUGGCUUCUGUCAUCUUGAGCUGAGCACCCAUGGGCCUUCCAGCUCUCCUACUGACCAUGAACCAUGGUUCCAGCGCCUGUUCAAAGUCUCAGGCCUCGGAACUGUGCCAGUCUCUGGUAUGAGUCUGCACUGGAAGGCUGAAGAAACUGGGACUGACCUCAAGGGCAAGGACAGCAAAAGAUGCACCCGCGCAAGUCCACUGGAGCCCUUCCAAACUGAGCACCCUUCUGUUCUUCGCCUUUUAUCCCAUCCGGGGUACCAGCCUGCCGGAUGCUGCUCACAUCACAUCCGGAGCGGGUGUUUCUCCCUGGGUUUGUUGGCCUACAUGCUAAUCAUCUCUGAAAACCCUACAGACACACUCAGACUUGAGUUUUAUUAAUCUGGUAGAUGUUUUCUAAUCCAGCCCAGGUGAUGUAGCAUAAUUAGUGGUCACAUGAAAAUAUCCUUCUGUUACUGUCAUAAUAGAUUCUUUUCACUUGUGCCUAAUAUUUUAAAUUUUCUAUUCUAUAAGAAAUCUUUACAAUAAUUUAAAAAAACUUGUUGAUAUUUGAAUAAGAUUUAUUGCAUUAGCUUUCCAUAUGUAGUUAUAAAAACAUUGGUUUAUGUUAAGUGAUAUUAAUUUAAAAAAAUCUAUGGAAGAUUCCUUGUCUUACAAAGAUAAACAUUUGAUCCAGAACCUUCUAUUGAAAAGUUCAUCUCUGCAUUUCUGUGUCUUCUUUGUUAUAAAUGGAGCAAUCAUGUGUGGGUGGGUUUGUUUCUGUGUUUUCUCUAUGCGUGUGUGGCACUGGGGAAUUGAACCUAGUGUCUUUGCAUUAAUCUACAUCUCUAGUACCUCUUUAUUUUUUAUUUUGAGACAACAUUUUUCUAAGUCUUCUAAGAGCUCAAACUGGGAUAGAAUUUGCCAGUAAUUUGCCUCAGCCUUCUGAAAUGUGUUUACAACCAUAGGCCAUCAUGUAUAUAUACAUAUAUAUAUUGGAUCUGGGAUAUAUAUUUGUACCUGGGAUACAAUUGUGCUUGCCAGGCAGGCACUUGUGCUGCUGAGCUAAACCCCCAGCCCUAGAUAUUUUACUAAUACAAUACUUACUUUAUCUUUUUAAAUCUAUUAUGAGACUUUCUAUAUAGUAAAGUAAAUUUUCUAAAUUUACAUUUCUUUUUUAACAUUUUUGAGGUGAUUUGGGCUUUUUUGUAUUUUCAGAUAAAAUUUGAGUUCAAAUUUCCAGUUUCUCCAGUGAAACUUGCUGAUAUAUUUAUGUGGAUUGCUUUUAUUAUUAAGAUUUAUCUUUGAUGUUUAAUAUAUUUACAAUCUAUGAGAAUUUUACAUUCUUCAUUUAUUUACUUGGUGGUGCCUCAGAUCAAGUAGGACCUGAUAAUUCUUCAAAUAAAUAAUUCAGGAUCCAUUUGACAGAUAUAUAGAUACAAAUUAACUUUGUCUUUGAUUUCACACUGCACAUUAAAAUCUACAUUUAGAGGCCUGAAUGUACAAGGUAAAAAAUUACACUACAUAAAAUAAUGCCUUCAAUUCUGUUUAUGACCUUAUGAUGCAAAAUAUAUAGUUUAAAAAUGUUUCUUAAAACGAGUCACUGGAUGCACUUAACAAAAAGGAAAAUAUUUAAUAAGAGCUUGGUUCCUCUACGGUUUAAGUUUUUUGGUUAUUUAAGCAGUUACAUUUGUUUAUCUUCCAUUGCCCCCUAUCCAAAGCUGUCAUGUUACUCUGUAUCAUUAGCUCAGAGAAAAAAAAAAACAUUCAAAAUUUCAAGCAUAGUUUCUAUUAAAUGCACUUUUUUUUGUACAAUCUUAAAGUGAAAAAAAUGUUAAAUUAAACCUUUGCAAGUGUGAAGUUGUAACAGCAAUGUUACGUGUGUAGGAAUUAGAAAAAACUACUCAAAAUAUAUUGUACAUAAAGUUGUCUUUCCCAAAAUAUAUGGAAAACUACAAGUGUUUUAAAAAUAUAAUACAACAACUUGCUCGAAGUCUUUCAUACUUGUUACAUAAAAGAAUAUCAAAUACAUGAAAAGUUUUCAUCUGCAAAAAGUGAGAUAAAGCAAUAAAUGAUAUUCACUAUAAUUUUAAAAUUAAAGAAUGUUUAUAUUAAGCACUGACAAAAUAUGGGGUGACACAAUAUCUCUCCUACACAAAUAUAUUCAGGAAAAUUUAUUUAUUUUGGCUAAGUCUCAUAGGAAAAUUGUUCAUUAUUACCUCCUAGAGUUGAAAAAUAUACAAAAUCCCUAUGGACUAACAUGCUCUUUCAAAAGUAUUUAUCUCAUAGAUACCUAUAUAAUUGUGAAUGGGGAUAAAAGAAUUAAUUUCUUUAGUCACAGAAUAAAAACAACUGUAAUGUACUUUAGUGUUAGAAGAUGUUAAACAUGUAUGUUAAUACAGAGCAGUCUUGCCUAGUGAUGUGAACAUGUUCUCUUAGAACUUUUAGAUGUAAGAACACUUAAGAAUGUAGGAAAUAACACGUUGAGAAAACAUAAUUGCAAAACAAAAGAAUAUUGUUUGUGUGAUUUGGCAUGUGCUGGGUACAAAAGAAGCCAAAACUACAUUUUGGCCUUAGACAUUAAGGCAGUCAUGAGAUUUAAUGCCAAGGCCAGAGGAAAGCUUCAUGAUGCUGCCGCCAUCUUGCUUCUUGAUUUGGGCUGUGACUACACCUGUGGGCACAUUCAAUUUCAACUAAAUUUGAUGCGCAAAUUGUGAGAUUGUGUUAGUAUGUUUGAAUGAUGCACAUGAAAGUAUAUAAUUGUGUAUAUAUUUUAUAAAACAAUCUGCAGAACAUAAUUCUUAUGUUUUUCAUGUAAUUAUUUAAAUGUGCUGAUACCACACUGAGCAAAAUAUAAUUUUAUUCUCCUAGAAUACAUUUUUACUGUAUUGUGUAUGAUUUCAUAAAUAUCUAGUAGAAGUCUAAGUUGAUAGAUGGAAAAGAUACAGACACUCCAUGAUAGUGACUGCCUCUGGGGCAAAGAGAAAAAGAUGGUGUUUGUGAGGGAAAUAAAAGGGUUAGUCCACCAUAGAUCAAAUAGCUCAUGCUGCAAAAUGAUGAUAUAGUUGAUUUAUAGAUUUAUUAGUUCAUGAUGGUUGGUACCUGCUUGUCUUCAUGUCCUCCUAAAUGUUCUGCCAAUGAGAGAGACUUUCAUAUAAAACAAUUCAAAAAUACACUUUUUCUAGGCAUUAAGAGUCUAUGUGCAGUACAGAAUAAAUCAAAACAAAAACAUAAAACUAAAAAUUUUAAACGGGACUUUAUUGGUUGAAGUUCUCUACAGGAACAGAAUAAAUAGAAAAAUACAUAAUUGCACAAAAAGAUUAAUUAGGCUUACAAGAUUCAAGGCAGGAGAGUCCGCCAUGGUCACCUCUGUGCUGGAGACAGAGGAUCCAGGAGCAGCUCAGCCCAUGGAGAUGAAAGCCACAGAAUAAGAGAAAUCAAGGGGUGACUUUCAAUCCAAAAAAAAGAUCCAGGAAGCUCAUUGGAGAGUCCUCGAUAUACAUCUAUUUUGGAAGCCUGGAAAGACUGAAGACAUCUCCAGGCAAUGGAAACAAAGGACACACUCACUAAGUCUACAGGAGUUCUUCAAAAUGCACCAAUUUCCUUUUUGCAUUUUUAUUCCAUCUAGGCGACAGGUCUAUCGAUGGUGCCAUCCACAAAUGGGAUGGGCCUUCCUGCAUCUGUUUACAGGCCAACAAUAUCGGAAACACUGACACACCCAGAACUGUGUUACACUAAUCUGUUAGGUGUUUCUGAACCUAGUCAAGUGGGCACACCACAUUCAUGGUCACAGGAGCACAUCAUCUAGUGUCAAAGGGUCACAACUGGAUGAGCUGUGAUGAGUGCUUUGAUAGAGAUUAAUAAAAGCAGCAAGCAGGAACAAUGAUCAUGAAGUUCUUGGCAGGCAAUGUUGGGAAAUUUGAAUUUAAAGAGUAGUUCAAAAAGUUUGAGGAGUGUCUACUUUGUGUUUAGAAUCACUUUUGUGGACUGUAGCGUAUGUACUGUACUGGACAGGGAAAAACUGCAAGAGCAAGAAAACAAAAAGGAAGAGUGAAGGAGAAGUCUAGCAGAGGAAUAGUACACGACAGGACUAUGAAGUCAUUUUAUGAAUGAAGGCAUUUGGACACUAAAGAGAAAAAUAAAACAUGAAGAUACUCCACAUGAUCAAUGGCUGACUGGGAGCAUUUGAAUCAUGGAGUCUAGAGAGGAGUUCUAGAGAGGAGUCCAAUUGCGUGAGGAAGAGACCCUGAUGAAAUUUAAUGGGGUUCUCUGUCCCAACACUAUCUCUGAUCACUGAGAUCAAAGUGUAAAGGGAUUAAAGAAAAGGAACCCCAACUGGGUUAAAAUAUUCCAAAUCUAAUGAGAUUCAAAUGUAAUUAUUAACACUUUAUAUUUUCAGUCGCACAAAUAAUAAAUAGCUUAUAAGCACAAAAUACAUCCAAUAAAAAUUAAUCUUUGUAGCCCUCGCCUUCACCUCUGUAAAAGGUAGUGGUGUUUAUGAGAUGUGGGGGAACAAAUAAUUACAUUUUUCAAUCUAGUUUAAACAGUAACUUAGUUUGGGUUAGUUUUAUGUGAGAAAAUAUUUUUAUUAAUAUAACAUUUGUAUAUAUUUAUGAAGUGUAAUAUGAAAUUCUACAUUUGUAUACAAUGUGAUGAUCAAAUUAGGGUAAUCAACAUUUCGAUUCCUGAAGCCUUAAACCAUUUCCAUGUGUUGAGAAACUUUGGAUUCUUUUUUUGUAGUUAUUUGAAAUGUGGUGCACACUCUGCUAGACUCUAUGACUAUCUAAGUGCACUUUGAUAUCUGUACCUAAGCUCUCGUCAUCCUUAUUUUGUUUGCUCUCAGUCACCUAUUUUACUCCUUUCUUUUUAGACAAAUUUUCCUAGCUCCCAAAUUUUAAAGUAUUUAACAUUCAAAAUAUUAUGUUAUCUUUGAUGAAUUAACAGAAAUCAUUUUUUUCAUACCUGUGUCUUGUAAUCUGAACAACUACCUUGAAGAUCACAAUAUGCAAUAUAUUAAUUUUGUUAAUGUCCUAUUUUGUUUUGAAAUUCUGUACCAUUGUUUUUAUUCUGUUUUUAAUUUUAAAAUAAAAAAUAUUACGUUCA